UACAUAGGGUGCUAGCGUUACUCGGAAUUAUUGGGCGUAAAGGAUGCGUAGAAGGACUAGUAAGUCUUGUGUGUAAUCCCUGGGCUUAACCCAGGAACUGCACAAGAUACUGCUAGUCUAGAGUGAGAUAGAGGAUAAUGGAAUUCUUAGUGGAGGGGUUAAAUCCGUAGAUAUUAAGAGGAACAUCGAAGGCGAAGGCAAUUAUCUGGGUCUUUACUGACUUUGAGGCAUGAAAGCGUGGGGAGCAAAUAGG
RNAcentral lists this ribosomal RNA (253 nucleotides) under uncultured bacterium. RNAcentral describes it as "partial 16S ribosomal RNA". It matches the Rfam family "Bacterial small subunit ribosomal RNA", at positions 524 to 776 of the family's 1533-position model. The record is from RNAcentral.